This 796-nucleotide ribosomal RNA is filed under the name Fructobacillus fructosus. Its description in RNAcentral is "bacterial SSU rRNA". It matches the Rfam family "Bacterial small subunit ribosomal RNA", at positions 122 to 905 of the family's 1533-position model. Lineage: Bacteria; Bacillati; Bacillota; Bacilli; Lactobacillales; Lactobacillaceae. The record is from RNAcentral.
UAACCUACCUCAAAGUCUGGGAUAACCAUUGGAAACAGUGACUAAUACCGGAUAAAACCCAGGUGCACAUGCACCAAGGUUAAAAGCUGCGUUUGCAGCGCUUUAAGAUGGAUUCGCGGUGCAUUAGUUAGUUGGUGAGGUAAAGGCUCACCAAGACGAUGAUGCAUAGCCGAGUUGAGAGACUGACCGGCCACAUUGGGACUGAGACACGGCCCAAACUCCUACGGGAGGCUGCAGUAGGGAAUCUUCCACAAUGGGCGCAAGCCUGAUGGAGCAACGCCGCGUGUGUGAUGAAGGCUUUCGGGUCGUAAAGCACUGUUGUAUGGGAAGAACGGGUUUAAGAGGAAAUGCUUAAGCAGUGACGGUACCAUACCAGAAAGGGACGGCUAAAUACGUGCCAGCAGCCGCGGUAAUACGUAUGUCCCGAGCGUUAUCCGGAUUUAUUGGGCGUAAAGCGAGCGCAGACGGUUCGAUAAGUCUGAAGUGAAAGCCCACAGCUCAACUGUGGAAUGGCUUUGGAAACUGUCGAACUUGAGUGCAGUAGAGGUAAGUGGAACUCCAUGUGUAGCGGUGGAAUGCGUAGAUAUAUGGAAGAACACCAGUGGCGAAGGCGGCUUACUGGACUGCAACUGACGUUGAGGCUCGAAAGUGUGGGUAGCAAACAGGAUUAGAUACCCUGGUAGUCCACACCGUAAACGAUGGAUACUAGUUGUUAGAGGGUUUCCGCCCUUUAGUGACGAAGCAAACGCAUUAAGUAUCCCGCCUGGGGAGUACGACCGCAAGGUUGAAACUCAAA